AUGGGUAGGAGCCGACGAGGAGGGGGGCCAUAUCAUGUUAGGGGAGCGCGUCCCCGCUGUAUCCGAAACGUGGCGCGCUCCGACCCCUUGGCCUCUUCUCAAUCUCUGGGGGUUUUGGGAUCUAGGGCCCCUGGGCUCCAGCUAGUGUAUUUUAAUGCCAGGUCCGUGGCGAAUAAGGCACCUCUCCUCUGGGAGGUUAUUGAGGAGGAGGCCGUGGACCUGGCCUGCAUCACCGAGACCUGGCUGGGGCCGGAGGGUGGAGUCCCUCUGGUCGAUAUUUGCCCCCCAGGUUUUCAGGUUAUGCACCGUUCUCGACCCCAGGGAAGGGGUAGAGGGGUGGCUGUUGUUAUUCGGGAGACCCUGCUUCCAAGGGAGGUCCCUGCUCCGGAGAUAGGUGGGUGUGAGUCCCUCCUUGUGAGGUUUGGGCCUAGUGGUCGGAUGGGUGUGCUGCUUACAUACCUGUCCCCCAGCUGUGUAUCAGCCGCCCUGCCUGGGCUGCUCGAUGCCGUCUCGGGGGUGGCGGUGGAGUUCCCAGAGCUUAUAGUUCUGGGUGACUUCAACCUGCCCUCCUUGGGGGCGGCGUUGGGGUUGGCCCAGGAAUUUAUGGCUUCCAUGGAGUCCAUGGGUCUGACCCAGUUAAUAGAUGGCCCGACUCACGAGGGGGUCAAUAUGCUUGACCUGGUUUUUGUCUCGGAGCGGUGGCGUAGUGGCCUGGGGGAUGGUGUUAUAGAAACCCACCCCAUUCCAUGGUCAGACCACUAUCUCCUAUGGCUGGUCUUCCAUCAAGCCGCCCCACACCGCUGGGAUGAGGAGCCACUUAGAUGGUUCCACCCCAGGCGCCUGAUGGACCCUGAGAGGUUUCAGGCAGAACUAGGUUUUUUUCCUGCAUCCCUCACCCACAGCUCUGCUGAGGUCCUUGCGGCUACCUGGCAACAGUGGGCCGCGGGGGCUCUUGACAGGGUUGUCCCCAUGCAUCCCCUUACUCAACGCAGAUCCCGGUCAGCUCCCUGGUAUACCAAGGAGCUCCGGGAGAUGAAGCAUCGUGGAAGGGGACUAGAGAGUAGGAGGAGGGUAACCCGCUCUGGAUCCGACCGAGCCCAGUUGAGAGCCCAUAUUAGGACUUACCUGGUAGCUGUGGGGGCGGCAAGGAGAUCUUACUUCUCCGCCCUCAUAGCAUCCGCAGAUAACCACCCAGCCGCCCUGUUUGGGGUUGCCCAUUCCCCCUUACAGUUGGGGGAGGUGGUGGACCCCUGCGGGGCAGAGCUGAGGAAUUUGGUCUUUAUCUGCAGGAUAAAAUUGCUCGGAUCCGGGAAGGGUUGCGCUCGGACUUGCAGUGGUCUGAGGAAGGGGAGGCGAGAGGUCUGGCUAAUGUAA
RNAcentral lists this long non-coding RNA (1374 nucleotides) under Naja naja (Indian cobra). Its description in RNAcentral is "lncRNA (ENSNNAG00000001085.1)". The record is from RNAcentral. Lineage: Eukaryota; Metazoa; Chordata; Lepidosauria; Squamata; Elapidae.